Molecule: small RNA, 127 nt
Filed under: Marmota monax (woodchuck)
Lineage: Eukaryota; Metazoa; Chordata; Mammalia; Rodentia; Sciuridae
Source: RNAcentral
GCAGGGUACAGGGGCGUGUGCCUGUAAUCCUAGCUGCUCCGGAGGUUGAGGCAGGAGGGUUGUAAAUUCAAGGCCAGCUUCAGCAACUUAGUGAGGCCCUAAGCAACUUGGUGGGACCCUGCCUCAA